AGCUCCAAUAGCGUAUAUUAAAGUUGUUGCAGUUAAAAAGCUCGUAGUCUGACCCUUGGCGGGUGCUGAGCGUCCGUGGCGCAAGUCACGUGCACGCCAAGCACUCUUGCCAUGUACUUUGGAGGAACGCGUGUGCUUUUCAUUAAGCGUGCGUCGGGAUUCCAAUAGUUUACUUUGAGAAAAAUAGAGUGUUCAAAGCAGGCAACUUCGCCUUGAAUACAUUAGCAUGGGAUAAUGAAAUAGGACAUUGGUUCUAUUUUGAUGGUUUAAGGACCGAUGUAAUGAUUAAUAGGGACAGUUGGGGACAUUCAUAUUCCAUGGCUAGAGGUGAAAUUCUUGGAUUCAUGGAAGAUGAACUACUGCGAAAGCAUUUGUCAAAGAUGUUUUCAUUGAUCAAGAA
RNAcentral lists this ribosomal RNA (400 nucleotides) under phytoplankton environmental sample. RNAcentral's name for it is "partial small subunit ribosomal RNA". It matches the Rfam family "Eukaryotic small subunit ribosomal RNA", at positions 587 to 983 of the family's 1831-position model. The record is from RNAcentral.